RNAcentral lists this ribosomal RNA (1420 nucleotides) under uncultured bacterium. RNAcentral's name for it is "partial 16S ribosomal RNA". It matches the Rfam family "Bacterial small subunit ribosomal RNA". The record is from RNAcentral.
AGAGUUUGAUCCUGGCUCAGGACGAACGCUGGCGGCGUGCUUAACACAUGCAAGUCAAACGGAGAGCGAUGGAAGCUUGCUUCUAUCAAUCUUAGUGGCGAACGGGUGAGUAACGCGUAACCAACCUGCCCUACAGAGGGGGAUAACAACGGGAAACCGUUGCUAAUACCGCGUACGAUUAAGCUUCGGCAUCGAAGCUUAAUGAAAGGUGGCCUCUACGUAUAAGCUAUCGCUGAAGGAGGGGGUUGCGUCUGAUUAGCUAGUUGGAGGGGUAACGGCCCACCAAGGCAAUGAUCAGUAGCCGGUCUGAGAGGAUGAACGGCCACAUUGGGACUGAGACACGGCCCAAACUCCUACGGGAGGCAGCAGUGGGGAAUCUUCCGCAAUGGACGAAAGUCUGACGGAGCAACGCCGCGUGAGUGAAGAAGGUCUUCGGAUCGUAAAACUCUGUUGUUAGAGAAGAACAUGCGAGAGAGUAACUGUUCUUGUAUUGACGGUAUCUAACCAGAAAGCCACGGCUAACUACGUGCCAGCAGCCGCGGUAAUACGUAGGUGGCAAGCGUUGUCCGGAUUUAUUGGGCGUAAAGGGAACGCAGGCGGUCCUUUAAGUCUGAUGUGAAAGCCUUCGACUUAACCGAAGAAUUGCAUUGGAAACUGGAGGACUUGAGUGCAGAAGAGGAGAGUGGAACUCCAUGUGUAGCGGUGAAAUGCGUAGAUAUAUGGAAGAACACCAGUGGCGAAAGCGGCUCUCUGGUCUGUAACUGACGCUGAGGUUCGAAAGUGUGGGUAGCAAACAGGAUUAGAUACCCUGGUAGUCCACACCGUAAACGAUGAAUGCUAAGUGUUGGAGGGUUUCCGCCCUUCAGUGCUGCAGCUAACGCAAUAAGCAUUCCGCCUGGGGAGUACGACCGCAAGGUUGAAACUCAAAGGAAUUGACGGGGGCCCGCACAAGCGGUGGAGCAUGUGGUUUAAUUCGAAGCAACGCGAAGAACCUUACCAGGUCUUGACAUCCAGUGCAAACCUAAGAGAUUAGGUGUUCCCUUCGGGGACGCUGAGACAGGUGGUGCAUGGCUGUCGUCAGCUCGUGUCGUGAGAUGUUGGGUUAAGUCCCGCAACGAGCGCAACCCUUGUCAUUAGUUGCCAUCAUUAAGUUGGGCACUCUAAUGAGACUGCCGGUGACAAACCGGAGGAAGGUGGGGAUGACGUCAAGUCAUCAUGCCCCUUAUGACCUGGGCUACACACGUGCUACAAUGGACGGUACAACGAGAAGCGAACCUGCGAAGGCAAGCGGAUCUCUUAAAGCCGUUCUCAGUUCGGACUGUAGGCUGCAACUCGCCUACACGUAGCUGGAAUCGCUAGUAAUCGCGGAUCAGCACGCCGCGGUGAAUACGUUCCCGGGCCUUGCACUCACCGCCCGUCA